Molecule: unclassified non-coding RNA, 253 nt
Filed under: uncultured Alphaproteobacteria bacterium
Lineage: Bacteria; Pseudomonadati; Pseudomonadota; Alphaproteobacteria
Description: contains 16S-23S intergenic spacer region
Rfam family: Bacterial small subunit ribosomal RNA
Source: RNAcentral
UACGGAGGGGGCGAGCGUUGUUCGGAUUUACUGGGCGUAAAGCGACCGUAGGCGGUUUGUUAAGCCAGAUGUGAAAGCCCGGGGCUCAACCCCGGAAUUGCAUUUGGAACUGGCUUACUAGAGUCUUGGAGAGGAUAGUAGAAUUUCCAGUGUAGAGGUGAAAUUCGUAGAUAUUGGAAAGAACACCGAUGGCGAAGGCAGCUAUCUGGACAAGUACUGACGCUGAGGGUCGAAAGCGUGGGGAGCAAACAGG